AUUGAACGCUGGCGGCAUGCUUUACACAUGCAAGUCGAACGGCAGCGCGGGCUUCGGCCUGGCGGCGAGUGGCGAACGGGUGAGUAAUACAUCGGAACGUGCCCAGUAGUUGGGGAUAGCUCGGCGAAAGCCGGAUUAAUACCGCAUACGACCUGAGGGUGAAAGCGGGGGAUCUUCGGACCUCGCGCUAUUGGAUCGGCCGAUGGCAUAUUAGCUAGUUGGUUGGGUAAAGGCCUACCAAGGCGACGAUCUGUAGCUGGUCUGAGAGGACGACCAGCCACACUGGGACUGAGACACGGCCCAGACUCCUACGGGAGGCAGCAGUGGGGAAUUUUGGACAAUGGGCGAAAGCCUGAUCCAGCAAUGCCGCGUGUGUGAUGAAGGCCUUCGGGUUGUAAAGCACUUUUGGCGGGAACGAAAAGGACUGUGCCAAUACCACGGUUCGAUGACGGUACCCGCAGAAUAAGCACCGGCUAACUACGUG
RNAcentral lists this ribosomal RNA (484 nucleotides) under uncultured bacterium. Its description in RNAcentral is "partial 16S ribosomal RNA". It matches the Rfam family "Bacterial small subunit ribosomal RNA", at positions 30 to 507 of the family's 1533-position model. The record is from RNAcentral.